GUCGAACGCUGGCGGCGUGCCUAAUACAUGCAAGUCGAGCGGACGAAUCGAAAGCUUGCUUUUGAUUCGUUAGCGGCGGACGGGUGAUUAACACGUGGCCACCCUGCCCUGUAGACUGGGAUAACACCGAGAAAUCGGUUCUAAUACCGGAUAACACGAAAUGUCGCAUGACUUUUCGUUGCACGACCUCUCAGGCUGUCGCUACACGGUUUGCCCGCGGCGGAUUAGCUAGUUGGUGAGGUAACGGCUCACCAAGGCGACGAUGCGUAGCCGACCUGAGAGGGUGAUCGGCCACACUGGGACUGAGACACGGCCCAGACUCCUACGGGAGGCAGCAGUAGGGAAUCUUCCGCAAUGGACGAAAGUCUGACGGAGCAACGCCGCGUGAGCGAAGAAGGCCUUCGGGUCGUAAAGCUCUGUUGUUAGGGAGGAACAAGUAACGCAGUAACUGGCGUUACCGUGACGGUACCUAACGAGAAAGCCACGGCUAACUACGUG
Molecule: ribosomal RNA, 498 nt
Filed under: uncultured bacterium
Lineage: Bacteria
Description: partial 16S ribosomal RNA
Rfam family: Bacterial small subunit ribosomal RNA
Source: RNAcentral